Rhea pennata is the source of this 766-nucleotide long non-coding RNA. RefSeq lists it as uncharacterized. The transcript has 5 exons. The record is from RefSeq and is a predicted model, not a curated record. NCBI's taxonomy places the organism in Eukaryota, Metazoa, Chordata, Aves, Rheiformes, Rheidae.
GCGCGAGGCGGCCGAGGGGCGGCGGCGGCAGCUCGCCCAGGAGGCCGCGUCGCUGCGGAGGCGCCUGGAGGCGGCAGAGGCUGAGCUGAGCCGGGAGCGGGCGGCCCGGGAGCAGGAGCGGGUGACGCUGCGGCAGGAGCUGGAGCAGCGGAGCCGGGAGCUGCGCGAGGCCCAGAGCCAGCACCAGGUGGCAGCGGAGCAGCUCCAGGCCGAGGUGACGUCGCUGCGGCAGGAGCGGGACCGGCUGCAGCAGGCGCUGCGCGAGGCUGGCGCAGCCCCACGCGGAGCCGCAGGCGGGCGCCCGCCCCCCCGAGGCCCCACGAACUCGUCUCGCCGCCCGGCGGGGCCCAGGCGUCCGGGCGGCCCCUCGCCCCGGGGGGCCCAGGCGUCCGGGCGCCCCCUCUGCAAGGGACCCAGGCGUCCGGGAGCCCCCUGCCCCCCCCAGCACCCUAACACCCCCCGGUGACAACCUCAACGGGGGGCUCCCCGGACACCUGGGCCCCCUUGGAGGCCCCCCCCUCGGACGCCUGGGCCCCCCCGGACACCUGGGCCCCCUCGGAUGCCUGGGCCCCUUCAGAUGCUCCCCCCCCCCGGGACGCCUGGGCCCCCCUGGAUGCCUGGACCCCCUUGGAUGCCCCCCCGGAUGCCUGGGCCCCUCCCGGACGCCUGGGCCCCCCCCCCCCCCGGACACCCCUCCGGAUUCCUGGCCCUGACUCCGUCCUGGGGUGAUGGUGACGAACGUGUGUGUGUGCGUGGGGGGGGUCAC